RNAcentral lists this long non-coding RNA (443 nucleotides) under Setaria italica (foxtail millet). RNAcentral's name for it is "long non-coding RNA (SITA_LNC005400)". The record is from RNAcentral. Lineage: Eukaryota; Viridiplantae; Streptophyta; Magnoliopsida; Poales; Poaceae.
AGUCCUUUGCAUUCGACAGUGACGCUCCAGGGGCAGGCAUGAAGGAGAAGCGCAAGGCAUUUGAGCUUGCUCUGGCAACUGCAGAUGCCACAUUCCAGAACCUCGACUCGUCGGAGAUCUCACUGACAGAUGUGAGCCACUACUUCGACUCGGACCCAACAAAGCUGGUGCAAGGGCUGCGGAAGGAUGGACGGGCACCUGCCUCUUACAUAGCAGAUACAACCACAGCAAAUGCACAGGUGAGAACACUGUCGGAGACGGUGCGUCUUGAUGCAAGGACAAAGCUACUGAACCCAAAGUGGUAUGAGGGGAUGAUGAAGAGCGGCUAUGAGGGAGUUAGAGAGAUCGAGAAGCGGCUCACAAACACUGUUGGGUGGAGUGCAACAUCCGGACAAGUUGACAACUGGGUUUAUGAGGAGGCAAAUUCCACAUUCAUUGAAGAU